UACGUAGGGGGCAAGCGUUGUCCGGAAUUAUUGGGCGUAAAGAGCGUGUAGGCGGUCCGGUAAGUCAGCUGUGAAAGUCAAGGGCUCAACCCUUGAAAGCCGGUUGAUACUGUCGGGCUAGAGUCCGGAAGAGGCGAGUGGAAUUCCCGGUGUAGCGGUGAAAUGCGCAGAUAUCGGGAGGAACACCAAUGGCGAAGGCAGCUCGCUGGGACGGUACUGACGCUGAGGCACGAAGGCCAGGGGAGCAAACGGG
Molecule: ribosomal RNA, 253 nt
Filed under: uncultured bacterium
Lineage: Bacteria
Description: partial 16S ribosomal RNA
Rfam family: Bacterial small subunit ribosomal RNA
Source: RNAcentral